AGUGGGUAAGAUCCCUUGGAAAAUCGAUUGAAAAGUGGGAAAAGAACAAGGACUUCAAUCGGUCUCACCCUGUAAUUGGAGAAGUCUACUGCUACUCCACCUAAUUAUACAGGUCGAAACCCACAAGGCCACAUUCACAAUCGAUCAAGAGCUCAAGAUAGGCUGCCAGAGAUGACGCCGUAGCCAGUUCCCAUUUGUCUUACACCAUUUUAAGGCAUUGCUACUGCUGGUUAUCUUCCGAGUAGUGAUUAAACGACCCACAAAGUGGAAGGACCGAAGGGGGGAGAAGUGGAACAGGGGGCAAAACGAAUUGAAUCCUAGGGUUUUUUCAGUUCGGGUGGUGUUGUACUAAACCAUUUUGGUUGGCUGUUGCAAAGAUGGCAAAAGAAGAGCAGGAACUUCGAUCGAACUACAAUCUUCGUUCAAAUGAGAGAGAGAGGAAGAAGAGCAGGGACUUCCAUUGAUCUGCUAUGUCUUCGCGAUUUGAA
Molecule: long non-coding RNA, 488 nt
Organism: Macadamia integrifolia
Lineage: Eukaryota; Viridiplantae; Streptophyta; Magnoliopsida; Proteales; Proteaceae
Exons: 2
Source: RefSeq, a predicted model, not a curated record